AAAGGAUGGAGACAGGUUAAAGGAUGGAGACAGGUUAAAGGAUGGAGACAGGAUAAAGGAUGGAGACAGGUUAAAGGAUGGAGACAGGUUAAAGGAUGGAGACAGGGUAAAGGUAGGAGCCAGGGUAAAGGAUGGAGACAGGUUAAAGAAAGGAGGCAGGGUGAAGGAAGGAGGUAGGAGACAGGUUAAAGGAUGGAGACAGGUUAAAGGAUGGAGACAGGUUAAAGGAUGGAGACAGGAUAAAGGAUGGAGACAGGUUAAAGGAAGGAGACAGGAUAAAGGAUGGAGACAGGUUAAAGGAAGGAGACAGGAUAAAGGAUGGAGACAGGAUAAAGGAUGGAGACAUGUUAAAGGAUGUAGACAGGUUAAAGGAUGGAGACAGGUUAAAGGAGGGAGACAGGAUAAAGGAGGGAGACGGGAUAAAGGAGGGAGACAAGGUAAAGGAGGGAGACAGGGUGAAGGAAGGAGACAAGGUAAAGGAGGGAGACAGGGUGAAGGAGGGAGACAAGGUAAAGGAGGGAGACAGGGUGAAGGAAGGAGACAAGGUAAAGGAGGGAGACAGCUUAAAGGAGGGAGACAAGGUAAAGGAGGGAGACAGGGUGAAGGAAGGAGACAGGAUAAAGGAAGGAGACAGGUUAAAGGAAGGAGACAGGGUGAAGGAUGGAGACAGGAUAAAGGAUGGAGACAGGUUAAAGGAUGGAGACAGGUUAAAGGAUGGAGACAGGUUAAAGGAGGGAGACGGGUUAAAGGAGGGAGACGGGAUAAAGGAUGGAGACAGGUUAAAGGAUGGAGACAGGUUAAAGGAUGGAGACAGGUUAAAGGGUGGAGACAGGAUAAAGGAUGGAGACAGGUUAAAAGAUGGAGACAGGUUAAAGGAUGGAGAGAGGAUAAAGGAUGGAGACAGGGUAAAGGUAGGGGACAGGAUAAAGGAUGGAGACAGGUUAAAGGAUGGAGACAGGUUAAAGGAUGGAGACAGGUUAAAGGAUGGAGACAGGAUAAAGGAUGGAGACAGGUUAAAGAAUGGAGACAGGAUAAAGGAUGGAGACGGGUUAAAGGAUGGAGACAGGUUAAAGGAUGGAGACAAGUUAAAGGAUGGAGACAAGUUAAAGGAUGGAGACAGGUUAAAGGAUGGAGACAGGUUAAAGGAUGGAGACAGGAUAAAGGAUGGAGACAGGUUAAAGGAUGGAGACAGGAUAAAGGAUGGAGACAGGUUAAAGGAUGGAGACAGGUUAAAGGAUGGAGACAGGGUAAAGGUAGGAGCCAGGGUAAAGGAUGGAGACAGGUUAAAGAAAGGAGGCAGGGUGAAGGAAGGAGGUAGGAGACAGGUUAAAGGAUGGAGACAGGUUAAAGGAUGGAGACAGGUUAAAGGAUGGAGACAGGAUAAAGGAUGGAGACAGGUUAAAGGAAGGAGACAGGAUAAAGGAUGGAGACAGGUUAAAGGAAGGAGACAGGAUAAAGGAUGGAGACAUGUUAAAGGAUGUAGACAUGUUAAAGGAUGUAGACAGGUUAAAGGAUGGAGACAGGUUAAAGGAGGGAGACAGGAUAAAGGAGGGAGACGGGAUAAAGGAGGGAGACAAGGUAAAGGAGGGAGACAGGGUGAAGGAAGGAGACAAGGUAAAGGAGGGAGACAGGGUGAAGGAGAGAGACAAGGUAAAGGAGGGAGACAGGGUGAAGGAAGGAGACAAGGUAAAGGAGGGAGACAGCUUAAAGGAGGGAGACAAGGUAAAGGAGGGAGACAGGGUGAAGGAAGGAGACAGGAUAAAGGAAGGAGACAGGUUAAAGGAAGGAGACAGGGUGAAGGAUGGAGACAGGAUAAAGGAUGGAGACAGGUUAAAGGAUGGAGACAGGUUAAAGGAUGGAGACAGGUUAAAGGAGGGAGACGGGUUAAAAGAGGGAGAUGGGAUAAAGGAGGGAGACAAGGUAAAGGAGGGAGACAGGGUGAAGGAGGGAGACAAGUUAAAGGAGGGAGACAAGGUAAGGAGGGAGACAGGGUGAAGGAAGGAGUCAGGAUAAAGGAAGGAGACAGGUUAAAGGAAGGAGACAGGUUAAAGGAAGGAGACAGGAUAAAGGAUGGAGACAGGUUAAAGGAUGGAGACAGGUUAAAGGAUGGAGACAGGAUAAAGGAUGGAGACAGGUUAAAGGAUGGAGACAGGAUAAAGGAUGGAGACAGGUUAAAGGAUGGAGACAGGUUAAAGGAUAG
This is a long non-coding RNA of Oncorhynchus kisutch (coho salmon), 2200 nucleotides long. Lineage: Eukaryota; Metazoa; Chordata; Actinopteri; Salmoniformes; Salmonidae. The record is from Ensembl.